RNAcentral lists this non-coding RNA (250 nucleotides) under Sporomusa malonica. Its description in RNAcentral is "T-box sequence". It matches the Rfam family "T-box leader". Rfam says of the family: Uncharged tRNA acts as the effector for transcription antitermination of genes in the T-box leader family. Lineage: Bacteria; Bacillati; Bacillota; Negativicutes; Selenomonadales; Sporomusaceae. The record is from RNAcentral.
GUAAAUGUGAUGAGGGAGAACUUGCGCUCUAUGUCGUUUCAGAGAACCGGUGGGUGGUGUGAAUCGGUACGAUGGGAAUGCAAACGUCGCUCCUGAACAGCAAAGCUGAACUGCAAAGUAAGCUGCGCCGGUCUCAGCUCCGUAAGGAGUGCAGUCGUUAUUCUGCUAGGGUUGUUUGACCUGAUGAGAGAUGCAGAUAGUUAUAUCUGUAAAAAGGGUGGUACCGCGAGGAUUAUCUCUUGCCCCUUUA